GUCGAAGUGGUGGAAUUGGUAGACACGCCAUCUUGAGGGGGUGGUGGCCUCACGGCUGUGCGGGUUCGAGUCCCGCCUUCGACACCA
RNAcentral lists this transfer RNA (87 nucleotides) under Legionellaceae bacterium. Its description in RNAcentral is "tRNA-Leu". It matches the Rfam family "tRNA". Rfam says of the family: Transfer RNA (tRNA) molecules are approximately 80 nucleotides in length. The record is from RNAcentral. Lineage: Bacteria; Pseudomonadati; Pseudomonadota; Gammaproteobacteria; Legionellales; Legionellaceae.